Molecule: ribosomal RNA, 460 nt
Filed under: uncultured bacterium
Lineage: Bacteria
Description: partial 16S ribosomal RNA
Rfam family: Bacterial small subunit ribosomal RNA
Source: RNAcentral
CCUACGGGAGGCAGCAGUGAGGAAUAUUGGUCAAUGGACGAGAGUCUGAACCAGCCAAGUAGCGUGAAGGAUGACUGCCCUAUGGGUUGUAAACUUCUUUUAUAUGGGAAUAAAAUGUUCCACGUGUGGGCUUUUGUAUGUACCAUAUGACUAAGGAUCGGCUAACUCCGUGCCAGCAGCCGCGGUAAUACGGAGGAUCCGAUCGUUAUUCGGAUUUAUUGGGUUUAAAGGGAGCGUAGGUGGAUCGUUAAGUCAGUUGUGAAAGUUUGCGGCUAAACCGUAGAAGUGCAGUUGAAACUGGGAGUAUUGAGUACAGGAGAGGUGGGCGGAAUGCGUGGUGUAGCGGUGAAAUGCGUAGAUAUCACGAAGAACUCCGAUUGCGAAGGCAGCUCACUGGACUGCAACGGACACUGAGGCGCGAAAGUGUGGGUAUCGAACAGGAUUAGAUACCCCGGUAGUC